GAAGCGCUGAGGAAGACAUGGCGAGCGCCUCUGAUGCGCAACGUGAGGGCUGGAUCUGUUGCCAUCCGGGGCGACCGGGCCUUGUUUGCGGCCUGCUCCGUUCCUCGAAUGCCUUUGGGGACUCGAGCGACUGAUCUUAAUUUGGAAAGAACUUGGCAUUUAUCCCUAUUAAUCCACAAUUCAAGAAGGAUGCAGACAAGCUGGAGCGUGUUCAGAGGAGGGCAACCAGGAUGAUCAGGGGUCUGGAAACAAAGCCCUAUGAAAAACAGUAUUAAAACAACAGUAUCCAUUUAAAAACAGUAUCCAUUUAAAAACAACAAUUCUGGAGUCCAUUAAAAACAAACUUAACGUUGUUAAAUGCUGUUAAAAUGCCUGGGAGAAGAGAAAAGUCUUGACCUGGCGCCAAAAAGAUAACAACGUUGGCGCCAAGCGAGCCGCAUUGGGAAGAUCAUUCCACAGUCGAGGGGCCACCACCGAAAAGGCCCUCUCCCUUGUUGCCAUCCUCCGAGCUUCCCUCGGAGUAGGCACUCGGAGGAGGACCUUAGAUGUUGAGUGCAGUGUACGGUCCAAGAUGUGAGGAGCACUAGUUCGAGUUGGGACCAGCGGCACAAAACGAGAAAGUGCCUCCUGUCCUCGGCUGGAGGGCUGCCUUGAGCCAGGUCCUGGAAAGAAGCUCCCCCACUGGACCUGAAUCAUCAGCAUGCCAUUCCUGGCCCAGUCCAGCCCUGAAGCCAGAAGUGGUUGGUGAAAGGUCCCACGCAGAGGAGAGAGUGCCUGCUUGCACUGGUGGCCCCUGAAAGAGUGUUCCUGACCAGCCACGGCGGCUGGUUUUAACGCCCAUGUGCCACCCCCGGGGUGUUGCACUUCACCCAGAAGUGGAUGCGGUUCAUGGCGAACCCUGCCUCGUCGCCUACACGGGCCUGUCCCGUUUCUCUCUGAGUCACUGACUAAAUCUGGGCAGGCUGUACAACUCGGAAAUGUUUUGAAAGAGGAAGUGUCUGGUCAGCAGGCGCACGGUUCUCUUAAUAAACAUGCAGCUAGGGUAA
Long non-coding RNA from Elgaria multicarinata webbii, 1046 nucleotides. RefSeq lists it as uncharacterized. NCBI's taxonomy places the organism in Eukaryota, Metazoa, Chordata, Lepidosauria, Squamata, Anguidae. The transcript is spliced from 5 exons. The record is from RefSeq and is a predicted model, not a curated record.